GACGAACGCUGGCGGCGUGCCUAACACAUGCAAGUCGAGCGAGUGAAUCUCCUUCGGGAGUGAAGCUAGCGGCGGACGGGUGAGUAACACGUGGGCAACCUGCCUCAUAGAGGGGAAUAGCCUUUCGAAAGGAAGAUUAAUACCGCAUAAGAUUGUAGCUUCGCAUGAAGUAGCAAUUAAAGGAGCAAUCCGCUAUGAGAUGGGCCCGCGGCGCAUUAGCUAGUUGGUGAGGUAACGGCUCACCAAGGCGACGAUGCGUAGCCGACCUGAGAGGGUGAUCGGCCACGAUUGGGACUGAGACACGGCCCAGACUCCUACGGGAGGCAGCAGUGGGGAAUAUUGCACAAUGGGGGAAACCCUGAUGCAGCGACGCCGCGUGAGUGAUGAAGUAUUCGGUAUGUAAAAACUCUAAUCAGCAGGGAAGAUAAUGACGGUACCUGACUAAGAAGCACCGGCUAAA
This 460-nucleotide ribosomal RNA is filed under the name uncultured bacterium. RNAcentral describes it as "bacterial SSU rRNA". It matches the Rfam family "Bacterial small subunit ribosomal RNA", at positions 28 to 501 of the family's 1533-position model. The record is from RNAcentral.